RNAcentral lists this transfer RNA (77 nucleotides) under Actinomycetes bacterium. Its description in RNAcentral is "tRNA-Ile". It matches the Rfam family "tRNA". Rfam says of the family: Transfer RNA (tRNA) molecules are approximately 80 nucleotides in length. Their secondary structure includes four short double-helical elements and three loops (D, anti-codon, and T loops). Lineage: Bacteria; Bacillati; Actinomycetota; Actinomycetes. The record is from RNAcentral.
GGGGCGGUAGCUCAGUUGGUCAGAGCCCCGGACUCAUAAUCUGGUAGUCGUCGGUUCGAGCCCGACCCGCCCCACCA